AAACGAAACAGUGAUGUGGAGUAAAACUUAGAAAAACGGUACUCAGUUCGGAUUGAAGGCUGAAAUUCGCCUUCGUGAAGCUGGAAUUGCUAGUAAUGGCAGGUCAGCAUACUGCCGUGAAUACGUUCCCGGGCCUUGUACACACCGCCCGUCACACCAUGAGAGUUGGAAAUACCCGAAGCCUGUGAGCUAACUUUUAGAGGCAGCAGUCGAAGGUAGAGCCAAUGAUUGGGGUGAAGUCGUAACAAGGUAUC
This 254-nucleotide ribosomal RNA is filed under the name uncultured bacterium. RNAcentral's name for it is "partial 16S ribosomal RNA". It matches the Rfam family "Bacterial small subunit ribosomal RNA", at positions 1247 to 1500 of the family's 1533-position model. The record is from RNAcentral.